RNAcentral lists this ribosomal RNA (253 nucleotides) under uncultured bacterium. RNAcentral describes it as "partial 16S ribosomal RNA". It matches the Rfam family "Bacterial small subunit ribosomal RNA", at positions 524 to 776 of the family's 1533-position model. The record is from RNAcentral.
UACGUAGGGACCAAGCGUUGUUCGGAUUUACUGGGCGUAAAGGGCGCGUAGGCGGCAAUUCAAGUCAUCUGUGAAAUCUCCGGGCUUAACUCGGAACGGUCAGAUGAUACUGUCUUGCUAGAGUGCAGAAGGGGCAAUCGGAAUUCUUGGUGUAGCGGUGAAAUGCGUAGAUAUCAAGAGGAACACCUGAGGUGAAGACGGGUUGCUGGGCUGACACUGACGCUGAUGCGCGAAAGCCAGGGGAGCGAACGGG